UGGGGAAUUUUGGACAAUGGGCGAAAGCCUGAUCCAGCAAUGCCGCGUGUGUGAAGAAGGCCUUCGGGUUGUAAAGCACUUUUGUCCGGAAAGAAAUCCUUGGCUCUAAUACAGUCGGGGGAUGACGGUACCGGAAGAAUAAGCACCGGCUAACUACGUGCCAGCAGCCGCGGUAAUACGUAGGGUGCAAGCGUUAAUCGGAAUUACUGGGCGUAAAGCGUGCGCAGGCGGUUUGCUAAGACCGAUGUGAAAUCCCCGGGCUCAACCUGGGAACUGCAUUGGUGGCUGGCAGGCUAGAGUAUGGCAGAGGGGGGUAGAAUUCCACGUGUAGCAGUGAAAUGCGUAGAGAUGUGGAGGAAUACCGAUGGCGAAGGCAGCCCCCUGGGCCAAUACUGACGCUCAUGCACGAAAGCGUGGGGAGCAAAACAGGAUUAGAUACCCUGGUAGUCCACGCCCUAAACGAUGUCAACUAGUUGUUGGGGAUUCAUUUCCUUAGUAACGUAGCUAACGCGUGAAGUUGACCGCCUGGGGAGUAACGGUCGCAAAGAUUAAAAACUUAAAUGAAUUGACGGGGUCAUAGCUGUUUCC
RNAcentral lists this ribosomal RNA (588 nucleotides) under uncultured bacterium. Its description in RNAcentral is "partial 16S ribosomal RNA". It matches the Rfam family "Bacterial small subunit ribosomal RNA", at positions 355 to 937 of the family's 1533-position model. The record is from RNAcentral.